RNAcentral lists this ribosomal RNA (494 nucleotides) under uncultured Aeromonas sp. RNAcentral describes it as "bacterial SSU rRNA". It matches the Rfam family "Bacterial small subunit ribosomal RNA", at positions 49 to 530 of the family's 1533-position model. Lineage: Bacteria; Pseudomonadati; Pseudomonadota; Gammaproteobacteria; Aeromonadales; Aeromonadaceae. The record is from RNAcentral.
CUACACAUGCAAGUCGAGCGGCAGCGGGAAAGUAGCUUGCUACUUUUGCCGGUGAACGGCGGACGGGUGAGUAAUGCCUGGGGAUCUGCCCUGUUGAGGGGGAUAACUACUGGAAACGGUAGCUACUACCGCAUACGCCCUACGGGGGAAAGCAGGGGACCUUCGGGCCUUGCGCGAUUGGAUGAACCCAGGUGGGAUUAGCUAGUUGGUGAGGUAAUGGCUCACCAAGGCGACAAUCCCUAGCUGGUCUGAGAGGAUGAUCAGCCACACUGGAAUUGAGACACGGGCCAGACUCCUACGGGAGGCAGCAGUGGGGAAUAUUGCACAAUGGGGGAAACCCUGAUGCAGCGACGCCACGUGUGUGACGAAGGCCUUAGAGUUGUAAAGCUCUUUCAGCGAGGAGGAAAGGUUGGUAGCCAAUAACUGCCAGCUGUGACGUUACUCGCAGAAUAAGCACCGGCUAACUCCGUGCCAACAGCCGCGGUAAUACGGAG